This 256-nucleotide ribosomal RNA is filed under the name uncultured bacterium. Its description in RNAcentral is "partial 16S ribosomal RNA". It matches the Rfam family "Bacterial small subunit ribosomal RNA", at positions 524 to 776 of the family's 1533-position model. The record is from RNAcentral.
UACGUAGGAUGCAAGCGUUGUCCGGAAUUAUUGGGCGUAAAGCGAACGUAGGCGGUUUCUUAGAAUUGGUCUUAAAGACCGGGGCUCAACCUCGGGAAUGGAUCGAUAACUGGGAGACUGGAGGACGUCAGAGGAAAGUGGAAUUCCGAGUGUAAGCGGUUGAAAUUCGUAGAUAUUCGCAAGAACACCAGUGGCGAAGGCGGCUCACUGGCCCGAUACUGACGCUGAGGCACGGAAAGCGUGGGGAGCAAACAGG